This is a long non-coding RNA of Bombus impatiens (common eastern bumble bee), 761 nucleotides long. RefSeq lists it as uncharacterized. Lineage: Eukaryota; Metazoa; Arthropoda; Insecta; Hymenoptera; Apidae. The record is from RefSeq and is a predicted model, not a curated record. The transcript has 4 exons.
UUUAUUUGGUCAAUUUCUCUUCUAAUAUGCCCAUAAUUUCGAACUCACUCAUUUAUUUUUAUCUUUCGUACUGUUCACUGUUUGAAAACAUUUCUCUUAAAGCGUUUUAAAGAAUUUACCGAUUCGUAUUCGGAUACGCUUGACUUAACGCCGAGCAAAACAUUCCCACCACUGUUUCGCAUGACGAAACGUAAUAUGUAGAACCAUUCAGUUGUCGAAAGUCGUAGCGGUGAGAUGUAUCAAUUCGCGUCGCGAAACCUAUUAACUGCGUAAUAAUUUGUUCCAUCACUAGUCUGCUGCCUUUAUACACUACUAUUAGAGUCAGUGCUCAACAGGAUACAGCCUCUCCACAACCUUAACAAUGUUUUCCACCACCUCGGCUUCUCGCUGUUCUCUGAAUCUGAUGGUGCUUUAAAAACAAAUAAUGUUUUUUACGGUCUUCAUUUCCACCAUGAAGUCCGAUAAUUCUUCCUCGAUGACCUCUGUUACGACCGUUUCUGGGCUAUUGCAGCAUCGAUGACGAUGACGAAUUUCUCCGCAUUGUGAGUCGCAUAUUUUUUUAUCCCUUCAUUCACUCAAUCAUGUCAUAGGACGAAAGGUCCGAAUCAACAUGGAUAACUGAUUGUGUUACGUAGAACUUUCUGCAAGCAUAAUGAUCUUUUAUAUCUAUGAAUAGUAAUAUUUCCUUACUCUGUGUUUUAUUUAUUGGCUCAAGUAGGAUUUUUGCACAACGAGUUUUUUUUUUAUAUUCGUAACACAAC